AGUGAACGCUGGCGGUAGGCCUAACACAUGCAAGUCGAACGGCAGCACAGUAAGAGCUUGCUCUUACGGGUGGCGAGUGGCGGACGGGUGAGGAAUACAUCGGAAUCUACUUUUUCGUGGGGGAUAACGUAGGGAAACUUACGCUAAUACCGCAUACGACCUACGGGUGAAAGCAGGGGAUCUUCGGAACUUGCGCGAUUGAAUGAGCCGAUGUCGGAUUAGCUAGUUGGCGGGGUAAAGGCCCACCAAGGCGACGAUCCGUAGCUGGUCUGAGAGGAUGAUCAGCCACACUGGAACUGAGACACGGUCCAGACUCCUACGGGAGGCAGCAGUGUGGAAUAUUGUACAAUGGGCGCAAGCCUGAUACAGCCAUACCGCGUGGGUGAAGAAGGCCUUCGGGUUGUAAAGCCCUUUUGUUGGGAAAGAAAAGCAGCAGGUUAAUACCCCGCUGUUCUGACGGUACCCAAAGAAUAAGCUCCGGCUAACUUCGUG
RNAcentral lists this ribosomal RNA (492 nucleotides) under uncultured bacterium. RNAcentral describes it as "partial 16S ribosomal RNA". It matches the Rfam family "Bacterial small subunit ribosomal RNA", at positions 29 to 507 of the family's 1533-position model. The record is from RNAcentral.